GCCCCGAAAAUGGAUGGCG
RNAcentral lists this small nuclear RNA (19 nucleotides) under Arabidopsis thaliana (thale cress). RNAcentral's name for it is "snRNA_15396". Lineage: Eukaryota; Viridiplantae; Streptophyta; Magnoliopsida; Brassicales; Brassicaceae. The record is from RNAcentral.